Molecule: ribosomal RNA, 494 nt
Filed under: uncultured bacterium
Lineage: Bacteria
Description: partial 16S ribosomal RNA
Rfam family: Bacterial small subunit ribosomal RNA
Source: RNAcentral
AUGCACGCUGGCGGCGUGCCUAAUACAUGCCAGUAGAACGCUGAAGGAGGAGCUUGCUCUUCUGGAUGAGUUGCGAACGGGUGAGUAACGCGUAGGUAACCUGCCUGGUAGCGGGGGAUAACUAUUGGAAACGAUAGCUAAUACCGCAUGACAACAGUUAUUGCAUGAUAACUGUUUAAAAGGGGCAACUGCUCCACUACCAGAUGGACCUGCGUUGUAUUAGCUAGUUGGUGAGGUAACGGCUCACCAAGGCGAUGAUACAUAGCCGACCUGAGAGGGUGAUCGGCCACACUGGGACUGAGACACGGCCCAGACUCCUACGGGAGGCAGCAGUAGGGAAUCUUCGGCAAUGGACGGAAGUCUGACCGAGCAACGCCGCGUGAGUGAAGAAGGUUGUCGGAUCGUAAAGCUCUGUUGUAAGAGAAGAACGAGUGUGAGAGUGGAAAGUUCACACUGUGACGGUAGCUGACCAGAAAGGGACGGCUAACUACGUG